RNAcentral lists this long non-coding RNA (862 nucleotides) under Oryctolagus cuniculus (rabbit). RNAcentral describes it as "lncRNA (ENSOCUG00000039670.1)". Lineage: Eukaryota; Metazoa; Chordata; Mammalia; Lagomorpha; Leporidae. The record is from RNAcentral.
GUACAUGUCAUAUACCUGUGCAUACACACACACGCUUCUACUCAGUGUGUACAUGUGCAUAUACCUGUGCAUACACACACACACACGCUUCUACUCAGUGUGUGUGUACAUGUCAUAUACCUGUGCAUACACACACACACACACUUCUACUCAGUGUGUGUACAUGUCAUAUACCUGUGCAUAUGCACACACACACGCUUCUACUCAGUGUGUGUACAUGUCAUAUACCUGUGCAUACACACACACACAAUCUACUCAGUGUGUGUACAUGUCAUAUACCUGUGCAUAUGCACACACACACGCUUCUACUCAGUGUGUGUGUACAUGUCAUAUACCUGUGCAUACACACACACGCUUCUACUCAGUGUGUGUACAUGUCAUAUACCUGUGCAUACACACACACGCUUCUACUCAGUCGUCACAGGCUCCGAGGACCCGCCGAGGUGGUACACUGUGGGGGGGGGGGGUAUGUUGUCAUCGUCAUCCAGCAGAGGGUGCAAGGCAAGGAACCGCAUCCCUCGGGGUUGUCCUGCUGCACACUGCCCCCUGGUGGCUGUGGCCUUCAUUCUGCGUCUGGCAUCCAUGUCUCCCUCGUGGGAUCCAUGUCCUUAACCCACAGCUAGGGAAACCUAACCGCAGGCUCAUCCUGUCAGGGGGUGGGCCCUUCGGGAAGCCCUCAGGGCAGAUGAGGUCAAGGGAGGGCCCCACCUCCACUCCCACCCCGGCCAGCAGGCCUCACUUGAGGCGGGCACCACGACCGUGGUUCUCCGCGCGGGAGCCGAAUAACCCUCCAUUCUUCACAAAUUGCCCCGUGGCCUUCAGUCACGGUAACAAAAGCCGAGCAAGACAACGGACUCCAUGA